RNAcentral lists this ribosomal RNA (2003 nucleotides) under human metagenome. Its description in RNAcentral is "bacterial LSU rRNA". It matches the Rfam family "Bacterial large subunit ribosomal RNA", at positions 14 to 2110 of the family's 2925-position model. The record is from RNAcentral.
AGGGCGCAGGGCGAAUGCCUUGGCACUGGGAGCCGAUGAAAGACGUGAUAAGCUGCGAUAAGCUUCGGGGAGCUGCAAAUAAGCAUUGAUCCGGAGAUUUCUGAAUGAGGAAACUCACUUGAGUUCAUACUCAAGUACGUUGCACUGAAAUUUAAAAUAGGUGCAUCGGGGGAACCGCCUGAACUGAAACAUCUAAGUAGGGCGAGGAAGAGACAUCAAACGAGAUUCCGUAAGUAGUGGCGAGCGAACGCGGAAGAGGGCAAACCGGGAGUAGAAAUACUUCCGGGGUACGGACUGCUUUUAGGACUCAAUCUGUUAACCGAACGGCAUGGGAAGGCCGGUCAGAGAGUGUGAGAACCACGUAGGUGAAAACGGAGAGAGCUGCGCAGGAUCCAGAGUACGGCCAGACACGUGAAACCUGGUCGGAAUACGGGGGGACCACCCUCCAACCCUAAAUACUACCCAGUGACCGAUAGCGUAUAGUACUGUGAAGGAAAGGUGAAAAGCACCCCGGGAGGGGAGUGAAAAAGAACCUGAAACCCUGUGCCUACAAGCACCUAGAGCACGUCAAAGUGUGAUAGGGUACUUUUUGUAGAACGGUCCGGCGAGCGAUUGUAUGCAGCAAGGUUAAGGACUUAAGGUCUGGAGCCGAAGCGAAAGCGAGUUUGAAAAGGGCGUUAAGUUGCAUACAAUGGGCCCGAAACCGGGUGACCUACCCAUGGUCAGGUUGAAGUGGAAGUAAAAUUCCAUGGAGGACCGAACCGACCUCCGUUGAAAAGGCGGCGGAUGAACUGUGGGUAGCGGAGAAAUUCCAAUCGAACCCGGAGAUAGCUGGUUCUCCCCGAAAUAGUUUUAGGACUAGCCUCAAGUUAGAUACCUGGAGGUAAAGCACUGAAUAGCCUAGCGGCCGAGAGGUUAGCGAAGCUUAUCAAACUCAGAAUGCCAGAGUAUUGAUGCUUGGGAGUCAGACAGUGUCAGAUAAAUGUCAUUGUCAAAAGGGAAACAGCCCAGAUCUACAGCUAAGGUCCCAAAGUCAGGUUAAGUGGAAAACGAUGUGAAGAUACGUAGACAACCAGGAUGUUGGCUCAGAAGCAGCCACACAUUCAAAGAGUGCGUAAUAGCUCACUGGUCGAGCGUCUUUGCGCGGAGAAUUUAACGGGGCUAAACCUGACACCGAAGCUUAGGCAAUACAGCAAUGUAUUGGGUAGGGGAGCGUUGUAUACGCGGUGAAACAGUAGCGCAAGCGGCUGUGGAGUGUAUAGAAGUGAGAAUGCCGGAAUGAGUAGCGCGAAUGCAGUGAGAAUCUGCAUGGCCGAAAGCCUCAGGUUUCUGGAGGAAGGUUCGUCCGCUCCAGGUUAGUCGGGAGCUAAGGUGAGGCCUAACGGCGUAGCCGAUGCACAGACGGUAGAGAUUCCGUCACCACCAAAAGAGUUAAGCACAGGGACACAUUUGAAGUCUCGGAGCCGGGUGUUGGUUCCGGUAGCGAUCGAGGGAAGUUAGUACCGAAGUCCGGGAUGGAAGAUGGCGAGAAAAGCUGUGUGUAUUUCUGCGGUGCCCGUACCGCAAACCGACACAGGUAGGUAGGAAGAAGAUUCUAAGGCCAACGGGAGAAGGGUUGUUAAGGAACUCGGCAAAUUGACCCCGUAACUUCGGGAGAAGGGGUGCUCCAGAGAUGGAGCCGCAGAGAAUCGGCCCAAGCAACUGUUUACCAAAAACACAGGUUUGUGCUAAAUCGAAAGAUGACGUAUACGAGCUGACGCCUGCCCGGUGCUGGAAGGUUAAGAGGAGAUGUGCAAGCAUUGAAUCGAAGCCCCAGUGAACGGCGGCCGUAACUAUAACGGUCCUAAGGUAGCGAAAUUCCUUGUCAGGUAAGUUCUGACCCGCACGAAUGGCGUAAUGAUUUGGGCACUGUCUCAACAGCCCGCCCGGCGAAAUUGUAGUACCGGUGAAGAUGCCGGUUACCCGCGACAAGACGGAAAGACCCCAUGGAGCUUUACUGUAGC